GGUAGAAGUAUUAAUACGGGAUAAGUGCUGAAAGCAUCUAAGCAUGAAGCCCCCCCUCAAGAUGAGAUUUCCCAACUUCGGUUAUAAGAUCCCUCAAAGAUGAUGAGGUUAAUAGGUUCGAGGUGGAAGCAUGGUGACAUGUGGAGCUGACGAAUACUAAUCGAUCGAAGACUUAAU
RNAcentral lists this ribosomal RNA (177 nucleotides) under Staphylococcus aureus. RNAcentral's name for it is "partial 23S ribosomal RNA". It matches the Rfam family "Bacterial large subunit ribosomal RNA", at positions 2744 to 2925 of the family's 2925-position model. The record is from RNAcentral. Lineage: Bacteria; Bacillati; Bacillota; Bacilli; Caryophanales; Staphylococcaceae.